CGCCAGACUCCUACGGGAGGCAGCAGUGGGGAAUAUUGCACAAUGGGGGAAACCCUGAUGCAGCGACGCCGCGUGAGUGAAGAAGUAUUUCGGUAUGUAAAGCUCUAUCAGCAGGGAAGAAAAUGACGGUACCUGACUAAGAAGCCCCGGCUAACUACGUGCCAGCAGCCGCGGUAAUACGUAGGGGGCAAGCGUUAUCCGGAUUUACUGGGUGUAAAGGGAGCGUAGACGGCAUGGCAAGUCAGAUGUGAAAGCCCGGGGCUCAACCCCGGGACUGCAUUUGAAACUGUCAGGCUGGAGUGCAGGAGAGGUAAGUGGAAUUCCUAGUGUAGCGGUGAAAUGCGUAGAUAUUAGGAGGAACACCAGUGGCGAAGGCGGCUUACUGGACUGUAACUGACGUUGAGGCUCGAAAGCGUGGGGAGCAAACAGGAUUAGAUACCCGCGUAGU
Molecule: ribosomal RNA, 448 nt
Filed under: uncultured bacterium
Lineage: Bacteria
Description: bacterial SSU rRNA
Rfam family: Bacterial small subunit ribosomal RNA
Source: RNAcentral